UUCUGGCUCAGGAUGAACGCUGGCGGCGUGCUUAACACAUGCAAGUCGAACGGAGUAUAGACGCUGCAGAGAUUUCGGUCGAAGCUUGUUUAUACUUAGUGGCGGACGGGUGAGUAACGCGUGGGUAACCUGCCGUAUGCAGGGGGACAACAGUUGGAAACGGCUGCUAAUACCGCAUAAGCGCACGGUUCUGCAUGGAACAGUGUGAAAAGAUUUAUCGGCAUACGAUGGACCCGCGUUUGAUUAGCUAGUUGGUGAGGUAACGGCCCACCAAGGCGACGAUCAAUAGCCGGCCUGAGAGGGCAAUCGGCCACAUUGGGACUGAGACACGGCCCAAACUCCUACGGGAGGCAGCAGUGGGGAAUAUUGCACAAUGGGGGAAACCCUGAUGCAGCCGACGCCGCGUGAGUGAAGAAGUAUUUCGGUAUGUAAAGCUCUAUCAGCAGGGAAGAUGAUGACGGUACCUGACUAAGAAGCCCCGGCUAACUACGUGCCAGCCGCGGC
Molecule: ribosomal RNA, 504 nt
Filed under: uncultured bacterium
Lineage: Bacteria
Description: bacterial SSU rRNA
Rfam family: Bacterial small subunit ribosomal RNA
Source: RNAcentral